GACGAACGCUGGCGGCGUGCUUAACACAUGCAAGUCGAGCGGUAAGGCCCUUUCGGGGGUACACGAGCGGCGAACGGGUGAGUAACACGUGGGUGACCUGCCCUCAGCUCUGGGAUAAGCCCGGGAAACUGGGUCUAAUACCGGAUAUGACUCCAUGACGCAUGUUGUGGGGUGGAAAGCCUUGUGCGGCUGAGGAUGGGCCCGCGGCCUAUCAGCUUGUUGGUGGGGUGAUGGCCACCAAGGCGACGACGGGUAGCCGGCCUGAGAGGGCGACCGGCCACACUGGGACUGAGAUACGGCCCAGACUCCUACGGGAGGCAGCAGUGGGGAAUCUUGCGCAAUGGGCGAAAGCCUGACGCAGCGACGCCGCGUGAGGGAUGACGGCCUCGGUUGUAA
Molecule: ribosomal RNA, 396 nt
Filed under: uncultured bacterium
Lineage: Bacteria
Description: bacterial SSU rRNA
Rfam family: Bacterial small subunit ribosomal RNA
Source: RNAcentral